RNAcentral lists this long non-coding RNA (1567 nucleotides) under Populus trichocarpa (black cottonwood). Its description in RNAcentral is "long non-coding RNA (PTRI_LNC001391)". The record is from RNAcentral. Lineage: Eukaryota; Viridiplantae; Streptophyta; Magnoliopsida; Malpighiales; Salicaceae.
GACUGAUCAAAUAUUCAACAUUGACAAAUGAAGCGAGUAAUACUAAAGUAAAUUCAUGCAUCAAAAUUCAUAUUGAGUACGGCUUCUGUUUUAUUCUCAUGAAAUUUUCAAUGAUACUUAAUCUUUCUGUAAUUUUUGAAGUACAUUUCUUGUUUUGAGACCCAAUGGAAGAACUUGUAGAUUUGUGCGCAGCAGCCACCUCAGGUUAAUUUCCGGCUAGCUUUUUGAUGACAACUAAAGAAAUAGAGACUUGCUUACUAAACUCUAUUUUCAUAGGGGUCAAAGGAGAUAUCGUGUUUGAUUUUCCAGCAAACACACCCUCGCAUGUCUCCGCCGAGUCUAUGGCAGCUCCAACCCAUGUACUGGCAUCACCAUAACGAUUACAAUCCAAAGCUGGCAGCGACUCCUUAAUCUUUUCAAUUGCAGUCAGGUAGAACGCAGAACAACUUUUGAGUUUUUUCAGAACGCAUUGAUCUGAAGUUGUUUUUAGCAACACACUGAUGUGGUUGUGGAUUCUGGUGCCAUCUUGCAAUGCUUUCUUUACUGCAAGCUUGGCUAUGCCUUGGAGACGAAGUCCUUUGUUUUCCAGGAAGAAUACGACUGUAGAUUUGCACAGCUCCUUGUCUAAGGUUUGGCUACAACCUUCAGUUAUCAAGCGUUCCUUCUGGACUAACAGAUUGAUGUGUUUUAAACCACUCAAGCAUAGCAGGUCAAACUUAGCUUUCAUGAAUGUAAAUGGGGAAUUUCGUUGUAAUAGUUCCUCGAAUCUAUCUUCGCAUUUCGUUGAGUUCGCCAAGGCGUCCGUGAUACAUGUCUUGGCAUCAUCGUAAUUUUUAGCAUCCAAAGCAGCCAGCGAUUUGUUAAUAAGGCCAACUGCAUCUUUGUAGUUGGUAGAACAACCUGUUAGGCUUCUCGUAGUGUACAUGUCCGAAGUUUUGAGUAGCAACGAGUUGACGCGGUGGUAUAUUGCAUUCCCAUUUGAUAUUGCUUUCGUUAAUGCAAGCUUGGCUAGGCCUUUGAAAUCAGCGUUUGGAAUUGCAUUCUUUCCUGCAAGUUCGGCUAUGAUUUUGAAAUCAGCUUCUACUUUGAUUUGAUUCGUGGAAUUUUUGUGGGCUUUAGCAAUGAGAUGAUUGGAAGAGAGGACAAGAACUAGGACAAGGCAAAAUGGAAUGAGCCCAUGUAAAGAACCCAUGCUGUUCAAUCGGUUCAAGCGGCCGGGAUUGUGCAGGAAUCAGUGUGUUGAAGGAAGGAAUGGUUGAUUGGAAAAACAAGGACAAAUUAGAAGAUUAUAUAGCCUUCAUUUUUUACAGCAGUUUUCUGUUGUGUUCCUAUUUUUACGUAGGAGAAAACUCAGAAGGUGAACUCAAGCUAAUUGUAACUACCUUCUUUACAUAACAGCUAGGUUUUUUGUUUUUUAGGUCAUUUUGUUGGCAAUCUGAAGCAUGACAGGUUUUUGAACUAUUUGUGGUUUUUAGCCUAACAGCUUCAACCCAAAUGGCAGCCAGGUGCAUGUUCUGUCCAAUGCUGGCAAAGAAGCAUAGUUCUAGGAUCAAGAAAGACAGCCUUU